UACGGAGGGUGCAAGCGUUAUCCGGAAUUAUUGGGUUUAAAGGGUGCGUAGGCGGAAUGGUAAGUCAGUGGUGAAAUCCUGCGGCUCAACCGUAGACCUGCCAUUGAUACUGCCAUUCUUGAGUGCGGUUGGAGUAAGCGGAAUGCGUAAUGUAGCGGUGAAAUGCAUAGAUAUGACGCAGAACACCGUUCGCGAAAGCGGCUUACUAAACCGUAACUGACGCUCAGGCACGAAAGCGUGGGUAGCAAACAGA
This 253-nucleotide unclassified non-coding RNA is filed under the name uncultured Bacteroidales bacterium. RNAcentral describes it as "contains 16S-23S intergenic spacer region". It matches the Rfam family "Bacterial small subunit ribosomal RNA", at positions 524 to 776 of the family's 1533-position model. The record is from RNAcentral. Lineage: Bacteria; Pseudomonadati; Bacteroidota; Bacteroidia; Bacteroidales.